This 2876-nucleotide ribosomal RNA is filed under the name Escherichia coli 3-373-03_S3_C3. RNAcentral's name for it is "bacterial LSU rRNA". It matches the Rfam family "Bacterial large subunit ribosomal RNA". Lineage: Bacteria; Pseudomonadati; Pseudomonadota; Gammaproteobacteria; Enterobacterales; Enterobacteriaceae. The record is from RNAcentral.
AUGCCCUGGCAGUCAGAGGCGAUGAAGGACGUGCUAAUCUGCGAUAAGCGUCGGUAAGGUGAUAUGAACCGUUAUAACCGGCGAUUUCCGAAUGGGGAAACCCAGUGUGUUUCGACACACUAUCAUUAACUGAAUCCAUAGGUUAAUGAGGCGAACCGGGGGAACUGAAACAUCUAAGUACCCCGAGGAAAAGAAAUCAACCGAGAUUCCCCCAGUAGCGGCGAGCGAACGGGGAGCAGCCCAGAGCCUGAAUCAGUGUGUGUGUUAGUGGAAGCGUCUGGAAAGGCGCGCGAUACAGGGUGACAGCCCCGUACACAAAAAUGCACAUGCUGUGAGCUCGAUGAGUAGGGCGGGACACGUGGUAUCCUGUCUGAAUAUGGGGGGACCAUCCUCCAAGGCUAAAUACUCCUGACUGACCGAUAGUGAACCAGUACCGUGAGGGAAAGGCGAAAAGAACCCCGGCGAGGGGAGUGAAAAAGAACCUGAAACCGUGUACGUACAAGCAGUGGGAGCACGCUUAGGCGUGUGACUGCGUACCUUUUGUAUAAUGGGUCAGCGACUUAUAUUCUGUAGCAAGGUUAACCGAAUAGGGGAGCCGAAGGGAAACCGAGUCUUAACUGGGCGUUAAGUUGCAGGGUAUAGACCCGAAACCCGGUGAUCUAGCCAUGGGCAGGUUGAAGGUUGGGUAACACUAACUGGAGGACCGAACCGACUAAUGUUGAAAAAUUAGCGGAUGACUUGUGGCUGGGGGUGAAAGGCCAAUCAAACCGGGAGAUAGCUGGUUCUCCCCGAAAGCUAUUUAGGUAGCGCCUCGUGAAUUCAUCUCCGGGGGUAGAGCACUGUUUCGGCAAGGGGGUCAUCCCGACUUACCAACCCGAUGCAAACUGCGAAUACCGGAGAAUGUUAUCACGGGAGACACACGGCGGGUGCUAACGUCCGUCGUGAAGAGGGAAACAACCCAGACCGCCAGCUAAGGUCCCAAAGUCAUGGUUAAGUGGGAAACGAUGUGGGAAGGCCCAGACAGCCAGGAUGUUGGCUUAGAAGCAGCCAUCAUUUAAAGAAAGCGUAAUAGCUCACUGGUCGAGUCGGCCUGCGCGGAAGAUGUAACGGGGCUAAACCAUGCACCGAAGCUGCGGCAGCGACGCUGAUGCGUUGUUGGGUAGGGGAGCGUUCUGUAAGCCUGCGAAGGUGUGCUGUGAGGCAUGCUGGAGGUAUCAGAAGUGCGAAUGCUGACAUAAGUAACGAUAAAGCGGGUGAAAAGCCCGCUCGCCGGAAGACCAAGGGUUCCUGUCCAACGUUAAUCGGGGCAGGGUGAGUCGACCCCUAAGGCGAGGCCGAAAGGCGUAGUCGAUGGGAAACAGGUUAAUAUUCCUGUACUUGGUGUUACUGCGAAGGGGGGACGGAGAAGGCUAUGUUGGCCGGGCGACGGUUGUCCCGGUUUAAGCGUGUAGGCUGGUUUUCCAGGCAAAUCCGGAAAAUCAAGGCUGAGGCGUGAUGACGAGGCACUACGGUGCUGAAGCAACAAAUGCCCUGCUUCCAGGAAAAGCCUCUAAGCAUCAGGUAACAUCAAAUCGUACCCCAAACCGACACAGGUGGUCAGGUAGAGAAUACCAAGGCGCUUGAGAGAACUCGGGUGAAGGAACUAGGCAAAAUGGUGCCGUAACUUCGGGAGAAGGCACGCUGAUAUGUAGGUGAAGUCCCUUGCGGAUGGAGCUGAAAUCAGUCGAAGAUACCAGCUGGCUGCAACUGUUUAUUAAAAACACAGCACUGUGCAAACACGAAAGUGGACGUAUACGGUGUGACGCCUGCCCGGUGCCGGAAGGUUAAUUGAUGGGGUCAGCGCAAGCGAAGCUCUUGAUCGAAGCCCCGGUAAACGGCGGCCGUAACUAUAACGGUCCUAAGGUAGCGAAAUUCCUUGUCGGGUAAGUUCCGACCUGCACGAAUGGCGUAAUGAUGGCCAGGCUGUCUCCACCCGAGACUCAGUGAAAUUGAACUCGCUGUGAAGAUGCAGUGUACCCGCGGCAAGACGGAAAGACCCCGUGAACCUUUACUAUAGCUUGACACUGAACAUUGAGCCUUGAUGUGUAGGAUAGGUGGGAGGCUUUGAAGUGUGGACGCCAGUCUGCAUGGAGCCGACCUUGAAAUACCACCCUUUAAUGUUUGAUGUUCUAACGUUGACCCGUAAUCCGGGUUGCGGACAGUGUCUGGUGGGUAGUUUGACUGGGGCGGUCUCCUCCUAAAGAGUAACGGAGGAGCACGAAGGUUGGCUAAUCCUGGUCGGACAUCAGGAGGUUAGUGCAAUGGCAUAAGCCAGCUUGACUGCGAGCGUGACGGCGCGAGCAGGUGCGAAAGCAGGUCAUAGUGAUCCGGUGGUUCUGAAUGGAAGGGCCAUCGCUCAACGGAUAAAAGGUACUCCGGGGAUAACAGGCUGAUACCGCCCAAGAGUUCAUAUCGACGGCGGUGUUUGGCACCUCGAUGUCGGCUCAUCACAUCCUGGGGCUGAAGUAGGUCCCAAGGGUAUGGCUGUUCGCCAUUUAAAGUGGUACGCGAGCUGGGUUUAGAACGUCGUGAGACAGUUCGGUCCCUAUCUGCCGUGGGCGCUGGAGAACUGAGGGGGGCUGCUCCUAGUACGAGAGGACCGGAGUGGACGCAUCACUGGUGUUCGGGUUGUCAUGCCAAUGGCACUGCCCGGUAGCUAAAUGCGGAAGAGAUAAGUGCUGAAAGCAUCUAAGCACGAAACUUGCCCCGAGAUGAGUUCUCCCUGACUCCUUGAGAGUCCUGAAGGAACGUUGAAGACGACGACGUUGAUAGGCCGGGUGUGUAAGCGCAGCGAUGCGUUGAGCUAACCGGUACUAAUGAACCGUGAGGCUUAACCU